AUUGAACGCUGGCGGCAUGCCUUACACAUGCAAGUCGAGCGGUAACGGGCCUUCGGGUGCCGACGAGUGGCGAACGGGUGAGUAAUACAUCGGAACGUGCCCGAUCGUGGGGGAUAACGAGGCGAAAGCUUUGCUAAUACCGCAUACGAUCUACGGAUGAAAGCCGGGGACCGCAAGGCCUUGCGCGGACGGAGCGGCCGAUGGCAGAUUAGGUAGUUGGUGGGAUAAAAGCUUACCAAGCCGACGAUCUGUAGCUGGUCUGAGAGGAUGAUCAGCCACACUGGGACUGAGACACGGCCCAGACUCCUACGGGAGGCAGCAGUGGGGAAUUUUGGACAAUGGGCGCAAGCCUGAUCCAGCCAUGCCGCGUGCAGGAUGAAGGCCUUCGGGUUGUAAACUGCUUUUGUACGGAACGAAAAGCCUUCUUUUAAUACAGGAGGGUCAUGACGGUACCGUAAGAAUAAGCACCGGCUAACUACGUG
RNAcentral lists this ribosomal RNA (482 nucleotides) under uncultured bacterium. RNAcentral describes it as "partial 16S ribosomal RNA". It matches the Rfam family "Bacterial small subunit ribosomal RNA", at positions 30 to 507 of the family's 1533-position model. The record is from RNAcentral.